GUCUAAAUAGCUUAAAUAUAGAGCAUUACAUUGAAGAUGUAAUGGUGUAGGUAGUUACUUUGGACA
RNAcentral lists this transfer RNA (66 nucleotides) under Tegrolcinia mirotibialis. RNAcentral describes it as "tRNA-Phe". It matches the Rfam family "tRNA". Rfam says of the family: Transfer RNA (tRNA) molecules are approximately 80 nucleotides in length. Their secondary structure includes four short double-helical elements and three loops (D, anti-codon, and T loops). Lineage: Eukaryota; Metazoa; Arthropoda; Insecta; Orthoptera; Tettigoniidae. The record is from RNAcentral.